GCAGAUUCCCUGAGCCCUUUUAUUCCUAUCCUUUUGCAUUCUUAUUCUAUAUAAGGGCACUCACACUCUUUCAUUAAAAAGGGGGGGGGGGGACACUUUCAGAAAUUCCACUCCUUGCAUCUUCAUUUUUUAGAAAACUUUCUGGAAUUCCAGCUUUAAAGUUGUGGAAAAAAAAGAGCAAGUUUCUUUUAUCUUUUCUGGGAUCUAAAGUCGAGUUUUCUUGACUUCAUUUGCUGCUCGUUCUUCAUUCUUGCUGGUUUUCUGUUGCUGUUUGGUUCUUGCUGCACUUUCUCAACUUCAGAGGCUUAUUUUUUGUUUUCUUUACUUAUUUGGUUCUGCUGGAAUAGGUCAGUUUCAAGCCUUAUGUAUUGCAUUUGCAUUGAAUGACCAAAUAUGUUUAUGUUCAUGUUGAUUCUUGCGUGUUUUGGUUUGUUGGUACCCUAAUAUCUGGCUUCAUGAGUUGUUUAAUUCAAACGUGAUUGAAAUAGUGAAAUUAAUUUGAAAUGUUGCAAUCGUUUGAGUUAAUCCAAUGUUUCUGAUUAUUCAAGCAUUUUUCAUUAGCUGCUGAAUUUGUUAAGCUUGAAUGAGAUCAAGGUUCUCUGUUUCAAUCUUGCAAGCUUGAUAACAGUUCAAACAGAAGUUUCAUUAUGAUGUUCUGUACAUAACUAUGUGUUGAUUUUAGGCUACCAAGAGCUUCAUCAUUGUAGUUUGCGGAUCUAACCACUAGUUGGUCAGAUCAGUAAAUUCCAAGGCCAUGGAAUGGAUUCAAAGUUCAGCAGAAAGAGGUUUAGGUUGAAGAUUUAGUUAUAUUUUGUUUUGAGUUAGCUUUUAGUAUAACUGAUUCUGGUUCUGUAUGCUUUUAGUAUAAAUAAAUUUGGUUUUGUAAGUAUUUAAAAAUAGUUGAGUCUAUUACCCCUAUGAGGAUUGUAAUUGGAAUGGCCAGUAAGUGUGAAAAGAAUCUUAUCAUGACACUCAUAUCAAUUAAGUGGUGAUUGAAUGUUUUAUAGCUCUCAUAAUUUGUAUUGUGGUUUCAAAACUUUAAAAAUUGAUCUUGUUUUAGUGAUAGCUUGCAAUGUCGUAUGGCUCUCGUAUUUGAAUUGUUGUUUCAAAACUUUAAG
This 1118-nucleotide long non-coding RNA is filed under the name Nicotiana tabacum (common tobacco). RNAcentral's name for it is "long non-coding RNA (NTAB_LNC004223)". The record is from RNAcentral. Lineage: Eukaryota; Viridiplantae; Streptophyta; Magnoliopsida; Solanales; Solanaceae.